This 630-nucleotide long non-coding RNA is filed under the name Pan troglodytes (chimpanzee). RNAcentral describes it as "long non-coding RNA NONPTRT014657". Lineage: Eukaryota; Metazoa; Chordata; Mammalia; Primates; Hominidae. The record is from RNAcentral.
UAAGAAAGCAGCAGCUUUUUCUAGACGGCUCUUCCUCAUGAUUUGCAUUUUAGCCAGAGGCGACCAGUUAUAAAAAAAACAUGAUGGAAAGAUGGUAAGAAGCCAAUUAGAUGGAUGGAUGGCUGACUGACAGCUCUCUGGUAUUACGACUCCAGAUUUCAGACUACAUAGCCUGGCAGUUUUCUACAAGAACCAACUUUUUGCAGAAGGUCAUACAUAUGCUAUUGGAGAGUUCACAGCUAGCCCCUCACUACUCAGAUUGUGGGUGUUAUUGCCAGACUGCGGAGAUGCACAAGAAUUGACUUGAGAAGCAAGGAGAUUAUUCAUGCUCCUGCACACUCUGUUAUCUCUGGGAGCUCUUAAUCAAUGCAGGGUGAGAGCCAGUUAGCGUGACUGAGGUUAGGGUAAACGGGCUGUUCAGGGAAAGAUAAAUUAAAAUGUGAUUAUUAUUCAAAUUGGAAUAUAGAGAACAUAAUCCAUGAUGGAAGAGAAGGAGAAUAAUAGAAAUAAAUAAAAAUUUACCUACUGAAUCACUUGCUGUAUUGAAUCUAGUCCUUGAAAUUCCAAAGACAUUAUAAUAUGCUAUGACUAAAGGGAAUGAUUUGGGAGAUUUAUACUCUAUCUUUAUUG